GUGGGGAAUUUUGGACAAUGGGCGCAAGCCUGAUCCAGCAAUGCCGCGUGCAGGAAGAAGGCCUUCGGGUUGUAAACUGCUUUUGUACGGAACGAAAAGGCUCUGGUUAAUACCUGGGGCUCAUGACGGUACCGUAAGAAUAAGCACCGGCUAACUACGUGCCAGCAGCCGCGGUAAUACGUAGGGUGCAAGCGUUAAUCGGAAUUACUGGGCGUAAAGCGUGCGCAGGCGGUGCUGUAAGACAGGCGUGAAAUCCCCGGGCUCAACCUGGGAAUUGCGCUUGUGACUGCAGUGCUGGAGUACGGCAGAGGGGGAUGGAAUUCCGCGUGUAGCAGUGAAAUGCGUAGAUAUGCGGAGGAACACCGAUGGCGAAGGCAGUCCCCUGGGCCUGUACUGACGCUCAUGCACGAAAGCGUGGGGAGCAAACAGGAUUAGAUACCCGUGUAGUCC
RNAcentral lists this ribosomal RNA (450 nucleotides) under uncultured bacterium. RNAcentral's name for it is "partial 16S ribosomal RNA". It matches the Rfam family "Bacterial small subunit ribosomal RNA", at positions 354 to 796 of the family's 1533-position model. The record is from RNAcentral.